RNAcentral lists this small RNA (88 nucleotides) under Salmonella enterica. Its description in RNAcentral is "partial RtT sRNA". It matches the Rfam family "RtT RNA", at positions 1 to 86 of the family's 130-position model. Rfam says of the family: This family represents a bacterial cis-regulatory element known as RtT RNA. The exact function of RtT is unknown although it is thought that it may be involved in changing the cellular response in relation to amino acid starvation. RNAcentral also lists the same sequence under 2 other names. The record is from RNAcentral. Lineage: Bacteria; Pseudomonadati; Pseudomonadota; Gammaproteobacteria; Enterobacterales; Enterobacteriaceae.
GUUUGCACUUGUCGGGGAAGGGUGAGAACCUUCGAUUAAGGUUCGACUUGAGCGAAAGCGAGAGAACGUUGCCAACGGCAACGGCCCG